UCAAUAGAAAAAUGAAGAAGGAAAGAAAACAGGUAUCAUGAAAGAGGUCACCUACCUUCAAGUAAUGGAAUUUUAGAUUCCAAAAUUAAGGUAGGUAAACCUCACUUUACUAUAUGAAAAGAUUUUUAUUUUUUUUUUGGUGGGGGGGAGUUUUGGGGUUAUAGAAGAAACACAAGUAUUUGUAGGAAAUAUAAAAUAUCAUGACUUUCACAAGUGUUGAGCCAUGCUAUAUAUUGCAUUAUAAAAAUGCCAAAGUGGAAGAAAUUACAUUGAGCUAUUGUGUAGAAAUUAGAAAAAGAAAACACAAAACUGGUAUUUUAUGACACAGACAGGAAAGAAUAUUUUAUGUAUGCUAUGACUCCCAUAUCUGUGAAAGCUAUUGUGACUGGUGUCCAGCCCUCACUUUAUACAUUACUCACUGUAAAGGAUGAUGUCACAGAAGGAUUAGUUCUAAUCCUGUAUGAGAAAGCCUGGUGAUGACUCAACAAGGAGUAGAAAAGAAGGAGCUAAAUCAGCUUAAAGUCAGGCUUGAUAUGUUUGGAUGGAAUCAGCAUUUUAUUCACAGUGCUCUGCUCAGUCAAGCUGAAAGACGGCAAGUGAAUAAGUCUUACUGGAAAGGAUAGGUUUGCUAUUUGUGUAGAAGCUAUCUAUGAGCCUUGGAGCAUCUUUGCAACAAGUCUUUUAGCCAGGCCUCACUUACAUGGGAACAAGAUGGGCAGUAAAGUGCUCAGGGUACCAUUGUUUCAGUGGCAUCUGAAUCAAAAGCAAAAGGAAAUUGGUCCUAAAUCCUUGUGUCAGAUCCCACAUCCUUCAAUAGAUGUCCAGAUAAUCCUACUCUCCAUAUGCUAUGAGCACUGAAUUUGGACUUGUCAGCUGCCUCCAGUACCAUUGACCAUGAACUGACCUGCACUCUGGAAGCAAAGACAAAUGGGAUGAAUUGUGGAGCUCAGAGUUAUGUGCAGCUUUGAGCCCUGAAGCAGGUUGGAAGUGGGCUGAGGCAGGGUUCUCUUC
This 1011-nucleotide long non-coding RNA is filed under the name Anser brachyrhynchus (Pink-footed goose). RNAcentral's name for it is "lncRNA (ENSABRG00000014404.1)". Lineage: Eukaryota; Metazoa; Chordata; Aves; Anseriformes; Anatidae. The record is from RNAcentral.